ACGGGUGAGUAACACGUGGGCAACCUACCUUAUCGACUGGGAUAACUCCGGGAAACCGGGGCUAAUACCGGAUAACAUCUAGCACCUCCUGGUGCCGGAUUAAAAGAGGGCUUCUUGCUCUCACGAUGAGAUGGGCCCGCGGCGCAUUAGCUAGUUGGAGAGGUAAUGGCUCCCCAAGGCGACGAUGCGUAGCCGACCUGAGAGGGUGAUCGGCCACACUGGGGCUGAGACACGGCCCAGACUCCUACGGGAGGCAGCAGUAGGGAAUCUUCCGCAAUGGACGAAAGUCUGACGGAGCAACGCCGCGUGAGUGAUGAAGGGUUUCGGCUCGUAAAGCUCUGUUAUGAGGGAAGAACACGUACCGUUCGAAUAGGGCGGUACCUUGACGGUACCUCAUCAGAAAGCCACGGCUAACUACGUGCCAGCAGCCGCGGUAAUACGUAGGUGGCAAGCGUUGUCCGGAAUUAUUGGGCGUAAAGCGCGCGCAGGCGGCCUUUUAAGUCUGAUGUGAAAUCUUGCGGCUCAACCGCAAGCGGCCAUUGGAAACUGGGAGGCUUGAGUACAGAAGAGGAGAGUGGAA
This 580-nucleotide ribosomal RNA is filed under the name uncultured Bacillus sp. RNAcentral describes it as "bacterial SSU rRNA". It matches the Rfam family "Bacterial small subunit ribosomal RNA", at positions 102 to 666 of the family's 1533-position model. Lineage: Bacteria; Bacillati; Bacillota; Bacilli; Caryophanales; Bacillaceae. The record is from RNAcentral.